This 497-nucleotide ribosomal RNA is filed under the name uncultured bacterium. RNAcentral's name for it is "partial 16S ribosomal RNA". It matches the Rfam family "Bacterial small subunit ribosomal RNA", at positions 28 to 507 of the family's 1533-position model. The record is from RNAcentral.
GAUGAACGCUGGCGGCGUGCCUAAUACAUGCAAGUCGAGCGAACGGACGAGAAGCUUGCUUCUCUGAUGUUAGCGGCGGACGGGUGAGUAACACGUGGAUAACCUACCUAUAAGACUGGGAUAACCUCGGGAAACCGGAGCUAAUACCGGAUGAUAUUUUGAACCGCAUGGUUCAAAAGUGAAAGACGGUCUUGCUGUCACUUAUAGAUGGAUCCGCGCUGCAUUAGCUAGUUGGUAAGGUAACGGCUUACCAAGGCAACGAUGCAUAGCCGACCUGAGAGGGUGAUCGGCCACACUGGAACUGAGACACGGUCCAGACUCCUACGGGAGGCAGCAGUAGGGAAUCUUCCGCAAUGGGCGAAAGCCUGACGGAGCAACGCCGCGUGAGUGAUGAAGGUCUUCGGAUCGUAAAACUCUGUUAUUAGAGAAGAACAUAUGUGUAAGUAACUGUGCACAUCUUGACGGUACCUAAUCAGAAAGCCACGGCUAACUACGUG